RNAcentral lists this transfer RNA (65 nucleotides) under Madachauliodes sp. RNAcentral describes it as "tRNA-Cys". Lineage: Eukaryota; Metazoa; Arthropoda; Insecta; Megaloptera; Corydalidae. The record is from RNAcentral.
AGUCUUAUAUUCAAAAAUGAUUUUAGAUUGCAAAUCUAAAGGUAAAGGUGUAUCUUUUAAGACUU